AUGAAGGGCAUGUCUUGUUCAGCCGCAGGGCCAGCCAUGUCGCCACCGCAGCUUACGCCGCCGGCGAGCGAAGUGCCAAGAAAAGAGCCGCAGGGCCAAGGAAAGGAACCGCCACCGCUGAGCUUUUCUCCAUGGAUUAAACAGUCAGGCCAACAUCAACUCCUCGAGGUCGCCGGCGAGCUUCACGGUGCCAUGGACAGCCUACCGGAGGUGACUCACGCGGGGGACGAGUACAAGCCGGUACGGCGAGCAGCUGCAGCGCAGGAACUAGUGAUGGCCCGAUGGGAAAGAUGGGAUUCAGUUGAUUGCUUUGAGAUUCAAUAA
RNAcentral lists this ribosomal RNA (324 nucleotides) under Triticum aestivum (bread wheat). RNAcentral describes it as "partial small subunit ribosomal RNA". The record is from RNAcentral. Lineage: Eukaryota; Viridiplantae; Streptophyta; Magnoliopsida; Poales; Poaceae.